UCCGAUAUGGUCUAGUGGUUAGGAUUUUCGGCUUUCAAGCAAUGAAGCUCCCGAACGGGUUUGAUUCCCGGUAUCGGAA
Molecule: transfer RNA, 79 nt
Filed under: Clunio marinus
Lineage: Eukaryota; Metazoa; Arthropoda; Insecta; Diptera; Chironomidae
Rfam family: tRNA
About the family: Transfer RNA (tRNA) molecules are approximately 80 nucleotides in length.
Source: Rfam by way of RNAcentral